Molecule: ribosomal RNA, 269 nt
Filed under: uncultured bacterium
Lineage: Bacteria
Description: partial 16S ribosomal RNA
Rfam family: Bacterial small subunit ribosomal RNA
Source: RNAcentral
CCCGCCGGCGGCCGGCGCACGGGUGAGUAACACGUAUGGAACCUGCCCGCAGCAGGGGGAUAAGCGGAAGAAAUUCCGUCUAAUACCGCGUAACACCGCGGAGGGCAUCCCUCGGCGGUUAAAGAUUCAUCGGCUGCGAUGGCCAUGCGGCGCAUUAGCUAGUCGGCGGGGUAACGGCCCACCGAGGCGACGAUGCGUAGGGGUUCUGAGAGGAAGGUCCCCCCACACUGGUACUGAGACACGGACCAGACUCCUACGGAAGGCAGCAG